CUGAAUAUUAGUGUUCGCGGGAUUUGAAAUAAAUUCUCCUCAGAAUCUUUGGAGGAUUCAAAUAGAUGUUUCUCAAUUUUACGUGACCUCCUGUGGCGGAUCCGACCUGGCUAUUAGACUUUAUGCUGGUGUAUUGACUGUCACGUCCGAAAAAUGAGCCUUGCUUUUGGGAUGGACGGGUCUAAUCGCUGCUUGCGAGCUGCUGCCUACCCGCUUUAUAUAUCUUACAUCUUGCCUUCGGAUAUAUGGAGUAGUACGGCGCGGUCGUACAAGAGUUACUCGGUCUGUGAGAUCCGAGUCUCUACAACCACAGCCAGGAUGGCGAAGUUUGGUCACGUAAGACAUCUCCCAGAGUAGCUGGUAUCAGCUAAAAUAAGAUCAGAACUUAGCAAGAUUAUUUUUCCGCGUAUUGCUUAAUGCAAUGAUUAAUGCUGGCUAUUCACACAGUAACAUGGUAAACCGUUGCAUUGGAUGAAUUGUUUCCUGAUGCGAUUAAAUAGUAACUUCAACGAAUCAACUGCCUGAAGGAGUUACAUUAAAUGUUAAGCAAUGACACCAAUGGCGUUUUAGUUUUUUUAUAAUGCCGGUGAAGUUGGUGCUACCCUCAUUUUAAAUUGGGUGUAAUCAGUCUAUCUCCUUUUUUGCACUACACCGGUGUAGCACCAAGAAAAAACGAAAACGCUUUAAGGCACAUGCAUUGCAGUGGUAGAAGGUUUUCAAUUAAUUUUUUAAAAGUUGGUUUUGUUUUCUUUUAUGUUAGGAAAUGCUUCAGUUAGGUAAUUUUUUCCAGACUAAGGGUCGAUUUCUUCACCCUUGCUUAAAGCUUAA
Molecule: long non-coding RNA, 828 nt
Organism: Topomyia yanbarensis
Lineage: Eukaryota; Metazoa; Arthropoda; Insecta; Diptera; Culicidae
Exons: 3
Source: RefSeq, a predicted model, not a curated record